AACUCAUAACUAGUCUAUCUAGUGGAGAAAAAUUCUUGUGGGCAGUUUGAAAGCCUCUAAGAGAAGAUUAUGAAGUUUGGAACCAGAUGCCAGGAGACACGAGGAAGGCUGUAGAUGCUUUGAACUUGUCUACUGGAGGAAUAUGCUAUGUUGUGUACUUCAUCUCUAUGAAUAUUUAGCAAGGAUUUCUACUGAACGUUUGCAGUAAUAAAAAGUAUGCCAUCAGUUUUAAUAAAGAGACACCCACUUCAAUUACUAUUUGUUACAACACUUCCAGUAUCACUUGUGACAAAUUUCAAUUAUAGUUGAAAUCCAAAGCAUAAUCCAGUUCAGAGAGACACAUGGAAGUGACCCUUGAGCUUUAUUUUGUUAAGUUAAAGUUAAAACAUUGCUUUUAUUUCAUCAUGUCGACAAACAUCCCUGGGAGUCAGAACCACCAUUUUUGCAAGAGGUGAGUUGUAGUUUAAAUAAAGCAUUCAAACAAUCAUUCAAAUAAGUUCAAUAUUUAUUAUUCUGUUACUUUGAUUUUAGUAUAUUUCUAAUGUCUAUAUCUGUCUGUCAACCUAUACCUCCUUCCUAAAAUAUAUUGGUUAUGCUUACCAUAUUUAUCCAACAAAAUAUGGAAAGUUAUGUAAAACAGUGUCUUUUCUUCUGGGCCACUUUGCACAGGAAACUUGACUCCUCAGU
Molecule: long non-coding RNA, 687 nt
Filed under: Homo sapiens (human)
Lineage: Eukaryota; Metazoa; Chordata; Mammalia; Primates; Hominidae
Description: HSALNT0204311
Source: RNAcentral